CCAAUGUGGAGUUUGUGCUAUCCCUGCGGGGGCCCAACAGUGGUAUCAGAGCCAUGGCCCAGACCUAACCAUGUGGUGGAAGUUGCCGGAUCCUCGGUGCCGAACAAAAAAUGGUGAGCUCCCGGUGCGCAAAUGGAGGCGGCUCGACGAGCUCCAGGUGGGAGGCUCGGUGGUGUGAGCCACAGGCGCAAAUUGAGGGGAGGCUCUGUGGUCCUUAGUGGUCCGACCUGUGUGGUACUUUGUUCGAGGGGAGGAUUGUUGAGGUGCAAACAAUGUCCCACAUCGGUUAAAUAUGGGAAAGAUCUAUGGUUUAUAUGGAGGGGAUAGUAACUCCAUUGGUAUGAGG
RNAcentral lists this long non-coding RNA (346 nucleotides) under Erythranthe guttata (spotted monkey flower). RNAcentral's name for it is "long non-coding RNA (EGUT_LNC002980)". Lineage: Eukaryota; Viridiplantae; Streptophyta; Magnoliopsida; Lamiales; Phrymaceae. The record is from RNAcentral.